Molecule: long non-coding RNA, 1887 nt
Organism: Epinephelus moara (kelp grouper)
Lineage: Eukaryota; Metazoa; Chordata; Actinopteri; Perciformes; Serranidae
Exons: 2
Source: RefSeq, a predicted model, not a curated record
ACAAUAUUUUAUUCGAUACACAACAAAAACAGUACAGAACCACUGAUAAACUGCACAAUUAACCCAAAUAGUGAACACAAUAAUAGCAGGAAAUUUGUGUAAAAUGAGAUACUUGGAUUGACUUUGACAGAUUAUUUCCUCUUAAUAUUACAUGAGAUGAGUUUUCCUUUUCCUUUUUUAUUUUUUAAGUUUUUAACAAUCACAUACUCAACCGGCUUAAGCCUACUUUUUAACCAAUUCAGUGUUUUCUUCUCCCUGACACUUAACCAUUGUUCUGUCUGCUCUUUGGUUCUUUUAACUGCGUACUUUUCUAAUGCAGGACAAGGCUGUUACGUAGAGAGGAAAAGCUCGGUGAAUAUAACUUGUGUUCAGGUCUUCACUCCCCUGUGCCCUUAUCCUGUGAGUUUUUUAAAAUUUUUAUUUCAUAUCUUAAAUAAUAAUCCAAACUUUAGAAAUAUCAUUUCCAUUUGUAUGUAUAUUUAUUUCUUUAAAAAUGGUCUUACAUUUUUUAAAAUCCUAGCAGGCCUCACAAGCCCCUGUGAAGCUUUGGCGCCCCCCAGUGGAGCUCAGGACCCCCAGGUUGUAAACCAGUGUCCUACAUGAUCACAAGAGGGCGACACACUCCACAAAGCAGCUUUUGUCAAACUGCUAAAGUGAAUCCAAUGGAAGAUUUUCAAGUGCCAUCCUUUGACCCAGGUUUGGAGGUAAGGACAACCUUAUGGAUGUUGAUUUGAUUGUUUGUACAAUGCAUGAGUAGUGAUGAAAGCGACAGGAUUUACAUAGUCAUGUUUACACACACACCAUCAGCAGGUUUUAAUUUGAAGAAGCAAACAGGUACGUGACAUCCGUGCUCUCCACCUGCAUUUUUAUGUGGCAGGCUGCACAGUGUAACCUGAUUAACCGCAGUUGGCAUCAUGCUCACAGAAGGUCCAAGUCACAAUGACACAGCUUUUUAGAGCAUCCUGCCACCUUAAAUUGAUGUCAUCCAUUUCCUGUUGAAAUAAGAUCUUUGGGUGUGCGUCAAAGCACUAAACAUUGAGACAUCAGUGAGACAAAGCAGAGCAGUUUCAUAUGAUGGGAGGAGCAGGUUACUGUUCAGGAAUGUGUAAUGGUUUUAGGACAUCAAGUGAUGCACAAUGAAGUGAGCACUAAACAGUUUCCAAUUACCAGGAGUUUCAAGUAAGGACAUUUGACCUGACAUACAAGGACAUAAUGUCUCAUAAACUGUACACUUAAAGGACAGUAGGUGAAUAUACAACAAACUAAAAUGAAUGUCAUCCUCAAUAAAUCCUGUUGUCACAAAUGUUUUAAUGUUCACCUUUUGUUACAUCCCUGGAGGCUAUAGUUUUCGGGGCUGUUGAAUCGUAGUGUGUUGUACUGAGAGGUGUUUCUAAUACGAACUAACUUAACUAUUGUAUUAGAUUGUGUUUUAGCUAGGAGCAAACAAGAAGCUAAAAACUGAGUAUAUGUUGGGAUUUCUUAUGAAUAAGCUAAAACAGUCAAAUUAUAUUCAGUGCACUUUGGAGAGGUUUCAAAACAAACAACAGAAUUUCAGAAUUGCAAGAGUGGCAAUUUUUAUUUUCACCAAAAAAAAAAAAAAAAAUCAAAGAAACUUUCAACAGAACAUGUUCUGUAUUUGCACACAAGAUUCAAAACUCAGUGAAUAACUUAAGAAGGCAUCUAUGUUAGCAUAUCACAAGGUAGGCUACAUGAUAUUUUACUGCACAGUCUGUAGGUUUACCUCAGUCAGUUUAGCUCAUAUGUCUCUGGAAGAUUUGUGAAGUUUCUGUAAUGAAACAUUGGACCCGUGUGUAUCACAACAUAAUGAUAAGAAUAUAAGGAAAGAGAGGCUUGGCCUUUACAAUCAAUAUUUAAAAAGAAUAAGAA